This 146-nucleotide ribosomal RNA is filed under the name uncultured eukaryote. RNAcentral's name for it is "partial small subunit ribosomal RNA". It matches the Rfam family "Eukaryotic small subunit ribosomal RNA", at positions 1296 to 1461 of the family's 1831-position model. The record is from RNAcentral.
AAUUGGUGGAAUGACUUGUCUGGUUAAUUCCGUUAACGAACGACACCUUAACCUGCUAAAUAAAUAUACAUAAUUUCGGUUAUGUGGGCAACUUCUUAGAGGGACUUUGCGUGUAUAACGCAAGGAAGUUUGAGGCAAUAGCAGGU